RNAcentral lists this transfer RNA (74 nucleotides) under Ephedra equisetina. RNAcentral's name for it is "tRNA-Trp". It matches the Rfam family "tRNA". Rfam says of the family: Transfer RNA (tRNA) molecules are approximately 80 nucleotides in length. The record is from RNAcentral. Lineage: Eukaryota; Viridiplantae; Streptophyta; Gnetopsida; Ephedrales; Ephedraceae.
GCGCUCUUAGUUUAGCUUGGCAGAACGUAGGUCUCCAAAGCCUAAUUCCAUAGGUUCAAAUCCUACAGAGCGUG